This 245-nucleotide ribosomal RNA is filed under the name uncultured Eubacteriales bacterium. Its description in RNAcentral is "uncultured Clostridiales bacterium partial 16S ribosomal RNA". It matches the Rfam family "Bacterial small subunit ribosomal RNA", at positions 524 to 768 of the family's 1533-position model. The record is from RNAcentral. Lineage: Bacteria; Bacillati; Bacillota; Clostridia; Eubacteriales.
AACGUAGGGGGCGAGCGUUGUCCGGAAUUACUGGGCGUAAAGAGCGUGUAGGCGGUCCAUUAAGUCAGGUGUGAAACCUGCGGGCUCAACCCGGAGAGUGCACAUGAAACUGAUGGACUUGAGAGCAGGAGAGGGAAGUGGAAUUCCUAGUGUAGCGGUGAAAUGCGUAGAUAUUAGGAGGAACACCAGUGGCGAAGGCGGCUUUCUGGCCUGCAACUGACGCUGAGACGCGAAAGCGUGGGGAG